UUAGGUCGACCCGCUGAAUUUAAGCAUAUCAUUAAGCGGAGGAAAAGAAACUAACAAGGAUUCCCUUAGUAGCGGCGAGCGAAGAGGGAAAAGCCCAGAACCGAAUCCUGCAGAGCAAUCUGCUAGGAAAUGUGGUGUUUGGUUCAAUUCCUACGGCAUACUAAACUGUUCUAAGUCCACGUGAUUGUGGCAUCAAGCCCAAAGAGGGUGUAAGGCCCGUCUGAACAGUGGAGUUUGUCCAGGAUUUGUUCCUAGAGUCGGGUUGUUUGGGAAUGCAGCCCAAAUCGGGUGGUAAACUCCAUCCAAGGCUAAAUACAACACGAGUCCGAUAGCGAACAAGUACCAUGAGGGAAAGUUGAAAAGAACUUUGAAGAGAGAGUUCAACAGUGCGUGAAAUCGCUCAGUGGUAAACAGGCAGAGCUGAAGAUGGGCAAGCGUAUUGGAGUUUUAUUAGUGCUGUUUUUUGACUUGGCGAUCUCAUUUAGGACGUCGGUCAGAAAGCGUGUAUUGAUAUUGCUCUGUUGCGCUAGUCCAACACUACGAUGGGUAGAUAGAAUAGCCUGUCAUUCAUGAAAGGUAGCUCUAAACUUGUUUAGAGUGUUACAGUCACGGAUUGCAGCGCUUUUCGAGUACCGUUUUGCAUUUAUCAAUGGAGUUUGAUAUGAUUUGUUUAAUAUAGAGCAUUCAGUGUGUAUCAUUUAAAGAUAUGCAUUGUAUGUCUUUCUUUUAAAUGAGUCCUCUGUCGGCUUCAGCAAAGUCGUAGUGCAACGGUAGGUAUCUGCCUGACCCGUCUUGAAACACGGACCAAGGAGUUUAGCUCAUACGCGAGUCAUGGGGUUUUACGAAACCUAAAGGCGCAGUGAAAGUAAAGGCAUGUCUUUUCAUGCUUAGGUAGGAUCCUGGAUGUAAUGUGGACUAUUUCCGCAUGCACUGGGCGCACUACCAGCUCGUCUCAUGCUUUUUAAGCGAGGCGAAGCAAGAGCGUAUGGACUGAGACCCGAAAGAUGGUGAACUAUGCUUGUGUAGGUUGAAGCCAGAGGAAACUCUGGUGGAGGACCGUAGCGAUUCUGACGUGCAAAUCGAUCGUCAAACAUGAGUAUAGGGGCGAAAGACUAAUCGAACCAUUUAGUAGCUGGUUCCCUUCGAAGUUUCCCUCAGGAUAGCUGGCGCUCGGGAACAAAGCAGUUUUAUCCGGUAAAGCGAAUGAUUAGCAGUAUUGGGGAUGAAAUAUCCUCAACUGAUUCUCAAACUUUAAAUGGGUGAGAAGCUUAACUCGCUUAAAUUUGGAGUUAGGCAUUGAAUGUGAGUGCCAAGUGGGCCAUUUUUGGUAAGCAGAACUGGCGAUGUGGGAUGAACCAAACGUCUGGUUACGGUGCCAAACAUGACGCUCAUGAGAAACCACAAAAGGUGUUGGUUGAUUUUGACAGCAGGACGGUGGCCAUGGAAGUCGGAAUCCGCUAAGGAAUGUGUACAACUCACCUGCCGAAUCAACCAGCCCUGAAAAUGGAUGGCGCUUGAGCGUUGGACCUAUACCAGACCGUUACUACAAGAGCAUGGUAUGUAGUAACGAGUAGAAGGGCGACUUGGUAAGCAUUGAAGCUUUGAUCGUAAGAUCAGGUGGAGCUGUCAAGUGUGCAGAUCUUGGUGGUAGUAGCAAAUAUUCAAGUGAGAACCUUGAAGACUGAUGUGGAGAAGGGUUCCUGGUGAACAGC
RNAcentral lists this ribosomal RNA (1712 nucleotides) under Utelga pseudoheinckei. RNAcentral describes it as "partial large subunit ribosomal RNA". It matches the Rfam family "Eukaryotic large subunit ribosomal RNA", at positions 16 to 1521 of the family's 3401-position model. Lineage: Eukaryota; Metazoa; Platyhelminthes; Rhabdocoela; Koinocystididae. The record is from RNAcentral.